This 395-nucleotide ribosomal RNA is filed under the name uncultured Sphingobacteriales bacterium. Its description in RNAcentral is "bacterial SSU rRNA". It matches the Rfam family "Bacterial small subunit ribosomal RNA", at positions 984 to 1382 of the family's 1533-position model. The record is from RNAcentral. Lineage: Bacteria; Pseudomonadati; Bacteroidota; Sphingobacteriia; Sphingobacteriales.
AACGUAAGAUGACUGUAGUGAAGCUUACAUCUCUUCGGAGCAUUUUACGAGGUGCUGCAUGGUUGUCGUCAGCUCGUGCCGUGAGGUGUCGGGUUAAGUCCCAUAACGAGCGCAACCCUACCUUUAGUUGCCAUCAGGUAAUGCUGGGGACUCUAAAGGAACUGCCUACGCAAGUAGUGAGGAAGGCGGGGAUGACGUCAAAUCAGCACGGCCCUUACGUCCAGGGCUACACACGUGCUACAAUGGCCGAUACAGAGGGCAGCUACCUGGUGACAGGAUGCAAAUCUCCAAAGUCGGUCUCAGUUCGGAUCGGAGUCUGCAACCCGACUCCGUGAAGUUGGAUUCGCUAGUAAUCGCGCAUCAGCCAUGGCGCGGUGAAUACGUUCCCGGGCCUU